AUCUUUCCAGUUCAUGAAAAUGAUGAUCGGUGCGUUCACGGUCCAUCCGUGACAGGUGCGGCCUCACCUUGUUACGCUCUGCGCCUCAGCCCUUCUGAUC
Small nucleolar RNA from Siniperca chuatsi (mandarin fish), 100 nucleotides. RefSeq annotates it as small nucleolar RNA U13. NCBI's taxonomy places the organism in Eukaryota, Metazoa, Chordata, Actinopteri, Centrarchiformes, Sinipercidae. The record is from RefSeq and is a predicted model, not a curated record. The transcript has a single exon.